AUUGAACGCUGGUGGAAUGCUUUACACAUGCAAGUCGAACGGCAGCACGGGGGCAACCCUGGUGGCGAGUGGCGAACGGGUGAGUAAUACAUCGGAACGUGCCCAGUCGUGGGGGAUAACGUAGCGAAAGUUACGCUAAUACCGCAUACGAUCUACGGAUGAAAGCGGGGGACCGUAAGGCCUCGCGCGAUUGGAGCGGCCGAUGUCAGAUUAGGUAGUUGGUGAGGUUAAGGCUCACCAAGCCGACGAUCUGUAGCUGGUCUGAGAGGACGACCAGCCACACUGGGACUGAGACACGGCCCAGACUCCUACGGGAGGCAGCAGUGGGGAAUUUUGGACAAUGGGCGCAAGCCUGAUCCAGCCAUUCCGCGUGCAGGACGAAGGCCUUCGGGUUGUAAACUGCUUUUGUACGGAACGAAAAGGCUCUGGUUAAUACCUGGGGCUCAUGACGGUACCGUAAGAAUAAGCACCGGCUAACUACGUGCCAGCCGCUGCCGUAA
RNAcentral lists this ribosomal RNA (500 nucleotides) under uncultured bacterium. RNAcentral describes it as "partial 16S ribosomal RNA". It matches the Rfam family "Bacterial small subunit ribosomal RNA", at positions 30 to 523 of the family's 1533-position model. The record is from RNAcentral.